This 898-nucleotide ribosomal RNA is filed under the name Paenarthrobacter nicotinovorans. RNAcentral describes it as "bacterial SSU rRNA". It matches the Rfam family "Bacterial small subunit ribosomal RNA", at positions 565 to 1459 of the family's 1533-position model. Lineage: Bacteria; Bacillati; Actinomycetota; Actinomycetes; Micrococcales; Micrococcaceae. The record is from RNAcentral.
GAGCUCGUAGGCGGUUUGUCGCGUCUGCUGUGAAAGACCGGGGCUCAACUCCGGUUCUGCAGUGGGUACGGGCAGACUAGAGUGCAGUAGGGGAGACUGGAAUUCCUGGUGUAGCGGUGAAAUGCGCAGAUAUCAGGAGGAACACCGAUGGCGAAGGCAGGUCUCUGGGCUGUAACUGACGCUGAGGAGCGAAAGCAUGGGGAGCGAACAGGAUUAGAUACCCUGGUAGUCCAUGCCGUAAACGUUGGGCACUAGGUGUGGGGGACAUUCCACGUUUUCCGCGCCGUAGCUAACGCAUUAAGUGCCCCGCCUGGGGAGUACGGCCGCAAGGCUAAAACUCAAAGGAAUUGACGGGGGCCCGCACAAGCGGCGGAGCAUGCGGAUUAAUUCGAUGCAACGCGAAGAACCUUACCAAGGCUUGACAUGGACCGGAAAGACCUGGAAACAGGUGCCCCGCUUGCGGCCGGUUUACAGGUGGUGCAUGGUUGUCGUCAGCUCGUGUCGUGAGAUGUUGGGUUAAGUCCCGCAACGAGCGCAACCCUCGUUCUAUGUUGCCAGCGGUUCGGCCGGGGACUCAUAGGAGACUGCCGGGGUCAACUCGGAGGAAGGUGGGGACGACGUCAAAUCAUCAUGCCCCUUAUGUCUUGGGCUUCACGCAUGCUACAAUGGCCGGUACAAAGGGUUGCGAUACUGUGAGGUGGAGCUAAUCCCAAAAAGCCGGUCUCAGUUCGGAUUGGGGUCUGCAACUCGACCCCAUGAAGUCGGAGUCGCUAGUAAUCGCAGAUCAGCAACGCUGCGGUGAAUACGUUCCCGGGCCUUGUACACACCGCCCGUCAAGUCACGAAAGUUGGUAACACCCGAAGCCGGUGGCCUAACCCUUGUGGGGGGGAGCCGUCGA